This 1020-nucleotide long non-coding RNA is filed under the name Setaria viridis. RNAcentral's name for it is "long non-coding RNA (SVIR_LNC001032)". The record is from RNAcentral. Lineage: Eukaryota; Viridiplantae; Streptophyta; Magnoliopsida; Poales; Poaceae.
GAAACGAUAUUUCCACUGUUCAUAUACCUUAUUGCAUAUUGAUUCUGGUUGCUUCAUUGCACAAGUGACUAAUUAUUUAUCUCUAGCAAUUAGCAUGAUCACAAAUUUACGUAGUGAAUAGGGAUCCGUACUUGGUCUGUCCUCAUGAUUAGGAUUGAGGGUGUUGAACUUUUGAUACUGUUCUGCAAGCUGAUAUGCUAUUAUUUGAAGAAGAAUUUUUUUUAUAGAUGAGUUUGGUUGGGUCUGUCAAAUUUUGCUGUCAAUAUGUAAUAGUGACAAACUGAUAGUACAUUUUCCAUGAAUUGUUUUUGUGAAAAAUUAUGAAUCUAAGUGUAAUUUGGCAUUUCGUGGUAACAAACUUACAUUGCUAUUCGCUAUAGCACGUUGAGAGAAUAUCAUAGUCUAUCUAAUUCACAUAGCAACGCGCAGCAAUCUAGAUUUCUAGGAGAAGUACCAAUAUGACACAGCUACUGUGUAAUCCUUCAGCUCACAUGGUUCUGUAAUUGCUACAGUGGGAUACUGCUGGGCAAGAGCGUUUCAGGACAAUCACUAGCAGUUACUAUCGGGGAGCUCAUGGAAUCAUUGUAAGUUGACCUUCUGAACUAGUAGUCUUUCUGAAACUUAACCCUCUUGAUCACUUUAUGAUACUAUUUGUAACUUUUGAUUGCUUGCAGAUUGUAUAUGAUGUUACAGACCAAGAAAGCUUCAACAAUGUGAAGCAAUGGUUAAACGAAAUCGAUCGUUAUGCAAGCGACAGUGUUAACAAGCUGCUUGUUGGGAACAAGAGUGAUCUAACUGCCAACAAAGUUGUGGCAACUGAGACAGCAAAGGUAAGUUCUCCAAAUUUCAUGAACGAAUCAUGACAAUGACUGCAAUUGUUCGUGUCCACCACACCCCUAGGUCUUGUUUAGACAUUUACAAUUGAUUAAAAACACCAUUCAGGCGUUUGCUGAUGAGAUGGGCAUCCCAUUCAUGGAGACGAGUGCGAAAAACGCCAUCAAUGUUGAGCAGGCCUUCAUG